UAACAAGGUUUCCGUAGGUGAACCUGCGGAAGGAUCAUUACCUAGAGUUUGUAGACUUCGGUCUGCUACCUCUUACCCAUGUCUUUUGAGUACCUUCGUUUCCUCGGCGGGUCCGCCCGCCGAUUGGACAACAUUCAAACCCUUUGCAGUUGCAAUCAGCGUCUGAAAAAACAUAAUAGUUACAACUUUCAACAACGGAUCUCUUGGUUCUGGCAUCGAUGAAGAACGCAGCGAAAUGCGAUAAGUAGUGUGAAUUGCAGAAUUCAGUGAAUCAUCGAAUCUUUGAACGCACAUUGCGCCCCUUGGUAUUCCAUGGGGCAUGCCUGUUCGAGCGUCAUUUGUACCUUCAAGCUCUGCUUGGUGUUGGGUGUUUGUCUCGCCUCUGCGUGUAGACUCGCCUUAAAACAAUUGGCAGCCGGCGUAUUGAUUUCGGAGCGCAGUACAUCUCGCGCUUUGCACUCACAACGACGACGUCCAAAAGUACAUUUUUACACUCUUGACCUCGGAUCAGGUAGGGAUACCCGCUGAACUUAAGCAUA
This 539-nucleotide ribosomal RNA is filed under the name Epicoccum nigrum. Its description in RNAcentral is "eukaryotic LSU rRNA". The stretch from base 184 to 337 matches the Rfam family "5.8S ribosomal RNA". The record is from RNAcentral. Lineage: Eukaryota; Fungi; Ascomycota; Dothideomycetes; Pleosporales; Didymellaceae.